Long non-coding RNA from Rosa rugosa (rugosa rose), 918 nucleotides. RefSeq lists it as uncharacterized. The record is from RefSeq and is a predicted model, not a curated record. The transcript has 6 exons. Lineage: Eukaryota; Viridiplantae; Streptophyta; Magnoliopsida; Rosales; Rosaceae.
ACUAACUUUACAGGUGCGCUUUUACAAUCAUGGCUGGCAAAGUGGAAUCACGAGAAAGAAGGAGAAGAAGGAUUGGGUCUGAGUUUGUUUUGGAUUGCGCAUGACACCAUACAUCUUGAGUUCAGAAAUGCUGCCGUUAUGUCAAGUGGGAAGAGUAUGAGGCCUUGCAAUCAUAACUCAUGCAGGGAGUAAAUGUAAUGCCAAGCCCUGAAGCCCGAAGGGAUUCAGGAAGGUUGAUCCAAACUGGUGGGAGUUUGCAAAUGAGUGGUUCCUAAGGAGCAGACACAUUUAUUGAAAAAUUUAGUGAGGAGAAAAUGCAACAAUAACUUUCCCUCUGAGAGUUCAUGUUCUGGAUUUCUGUUUCAGGGUUGGACCUAAUUUUCAAGUUUGCAACUUUAUAAUCCCAAAAGCCAGAAGAGAUUUAGGGCUUGACAUAGUCUAAAAGCCAUGGGAGAAGAUCAUGUGUACACAAAAGAUCGGAGGGUUGAAUCCAUUCCAGAUGAGGUUCUCAAAUUUUGAUUUGUUUUUAGUUUUUCCCCGUUCUCUUCUUUUUACUAAAACCUGUCUUCAUUUGUUUGUGUACAACUCCUUGCAUUCUCUGGCUCACACCCACUUAACAGUAAUUGGCUCUGAUUCUGUAUGCAAGCAGGUCUGCCAUUACCCUGAUCCUGUAACAAGGUUUAACAUUGCACCAGACUUGAUGAAUCAAGCAAAAGAUUAUUUGAACAAAACUAUAUAUGUUUGUUAUAUUGUUGGCUAGAGUGAGUGUUUUAGAAUGCGCAAAAAAAAAAAAAAAUGUAUCUUCUAAUGUUCCAAUUAUGUUUAUUCGACCCAAAAGUUGUGGUUGCACAGUUGUGUGCAGUCCUGCCUUACUUUGAAUGCCAAUUUAGGAUGGCCUGCCUUUGGAAUGUUGAUUUA